UCAACAAGUUUGAUAGGUGCAUAUCGGACUUGAAGGACAUUGAUGUGAAAGUAGAUGAUGAGGAUCAAGCACUUCUACUACUUCUUUCAUUGCUAAAGUCUUACGAGAACCUAGUACAAACAUUGAUGCUUGUGGGUGAUAAACUUGUGAUGGAGGAUACCAGAACGUCACUUCUAGCGGAUGAUCUUCAAAAGAUUGCAACUAGUGGCA
RNAcentral lists this long non-coding RNA (210 nucleotides) under Olea europaea (common olive). RNAcentral describes it as "long non-coding RNA (OEUR_LNC006537)". The record is from RNAcentral. Lineage: Eukaryota; Viridiplantae; Streptophyta; Magnoliopsida; Lamiales; Oleaceae.